AUGUCGAGCCUCCGCAACUCUCAUCGGAAGACCGACGUCGUCGGCGAGUGCAUUGACAAGCUCCACGAGAAGCGCCGCGCGGUGCGCGAGGAGGGCAUGGAGUCGCUCGUCGCCGCGCUGGAGGGCUUCGUCCCCGUCGACGAGCUCGACUACCGCUACUUCACCGUCUUCGACCGCUGCUGCGCCUCCCUCCGCAAGGGCGGCAGGGAGGCAACGCUCGCCUACCGCGCCAUCGGCCUCCUCGCUCUCACCGUAGGCGCCGCCACCGCCGAUGGCGUCGAUUGCUCCCAGGACAUCCUGGAGAAAGCGCUCCCCGUCCUCGAGGAGACGCUGCAUGCGCCGUCGUCUGGCGCGGCGACCAUGGUGGCCGCUCUCGACUGCCUCGCUGCCGUAACCCUCGCCCGCGCGCGCUGCCCGGAGGACGCGGCGCCGUCUGUGAAGGCCGUGUGGGGCGCGAUCAGGGCAUCAGGCGUGCCGAAGACGUGA
Molecule: ribosomal RNA, 486 nt
Filed under: Triticum aestivum (bread wheat)
Lineage: Eukaryota; Viridiplantae; Streptophyta; Magnoliopsida; Poales; Poaceae
Description: partial small subunit ribosomal RNA
Source: RNAcentral